CAACAAGCUCACAACUCUCUUUUUGAUAUCAAUACCUAGAGAAAACAACUUUGCGCUGGACUAUCCGCCAAACUGUUGCUGAAGCCCGACGACUUUCCAACAUGACUUGGUUAUGUUCAAGAGUCAGAAGUGCAAGCUGGACCGUCUUGCCUGCAUGCAUAAGAUCACCGAUGUCUGGAGUUGCCAAUAGCCUUUUCCACG
Doryrhamphus excisus (bluestripe pipefish) is the source of this 201-nucleotide non-coding RNA. The record is from RefSeq and is a predicted model, not a curated record. NCBI's taxonomy places the organism in Eukaryota, Metazoa, Chordata, Actinopteri, Syngnathiformes, Syngnathidae.